UACGUAGGGGGCAAGCGUUGUCCGGAUUUAUUGGGCGUAAAGAGCGUGUAGGCGGCCAGGUAGGUCAGCUGUGAAAACUCGAGGCUCAACCUCGAGAUGUCGGCUGAAACCAUCUGGCUAGAGUCCGGAAGAGGAGAAUGGAAUUCCCGGUGUAGCGGUGAAAUGCGCAGAUAUCGGGAGGAACACCAGUGGCGAAGGCGACUACCUGGCCCAUUCUUGACGCUGAGGCGCGAAAGCUAGGGGAGCGAACGGG
This 253-nucleotide ribosomal RNA is filed under the name uncultured bacterium. Its description in RNAcentral is "partial 16S ribosomal RNA". It matches the Rfam family "Bacterial small subunit ribosomal RNA", at positions 524 to 776 of the family's 1533-position model. The record is from RNAcentral.